CCAGCACCCGCGGUAAUUCCAGCUCCAAUAGCGUAUAUUAAAGUUGUUGCAGUUAAAAAGCUCGUAGUUGGAUUUGUGGUGUGACGGAUCGGUCCGACCUUUGGUGGGUACUCGAUGUUGUCACGCCAUCCUUGAGUGGUUCGUCCUGGCAUUAAGUUGUCGGGGCGGCAGCCGCUCAUCGUUUACUGUGAGAAAAUUAGAGUGUUCAAAGCAGGCUUAUGCCGUUGAAUAUACUAGCAUGGAAUAAUAAGAUAGGACCUCGGUACUAUUUUGUUGGUUUGAGAACCAAGGUAAUGAUCAAUAGGGACAGUUGGGGGUAUUCGUAUUCAGUUGUCAGAGGUGAAAUUCUUAGAUUUACGGAAGACGAACUACUGCGAAAGCAUUUACCAAGGAUGUUUUCAUUAAUCAAGAACGAAAGU
RNAcentral lists this ribosomal RNA (419 nucleotides) under uncultured Chaetoceros. Its description in RNAcentral is "SSU rRNA". It matches the Rfam family "Eukaryotic small subunit ribosomal RNA", at positions 567 to 990 of the family's 1831-position model. Lineage: Eukaryota; Bacillariophyta; Thalassiosirophyceae; Chaetocerotales; Chaetocerotaceae. The record is from RNAcentral.